AAUGGCCUUAGUUUCUUAAGCGA
This 23-nucleotide small nuclear RNA is filed under the name Arabidopsis thaliana (thale cress). Its description in RNAcentral is "snRNA_07364". Lineage: Eukaryota; Viridiplantae; Streptophyta; Magnoliopsida; Brassicales; Brassicaceae. The record is from RNAcentral.